CCUACGGGUGGCUGCAGUGGGGAAUAUUGGACAAUGGGGGCAACCCUGAUCCAGCCAUGCCGCGUGUGUGAAGAAGGCCCUCGGGUUGUAAAGCACUUUCAGUGAGGAAGAACGCCUGGUGGUUAAUACCCAUCAGGAAAGACAUCACUCACAGAAGAAGCGCCGGCUAACUCCGUGCCAGCAGCCGCGGUAAUACGGAGGGUGCGAGCGUUAAUCGGAAUUACUGGGCGUAAAGCGCGCGUAGGUGGCUUGAUAAGCCGGUUGUGAAAGCCCCGGGCUCAACCUGGGAACGGCAUCCGGAACUGUCAAGCUAGAGUGCAGGAGAGGAAGGUAGAAUUCCCGGUGUAGCGGUGAAAUGCGUAGAGAUCGGGAGGAAUACCAGUGGCGAAGGCGGCCUUCUGGACUGACACUGACACUGAGGUGCGAAAGCGUGGGUAGCAAACAGGAUUAGAUACCCGAGUAGUC
RNAcentral lists this ribosomal RNA (465 nucleotides) under Vreelandella stevensii. Its description in RNAcentral is "partial 16S ribosomal RNA". It matches the Rfam family "Bacterial small subunit ribosomal RNA", at positions 338 to 795 of the family's 1533-position model. The record is from RNAcentral. Lineage: Bacteria; Pseudomonadati; Pseudomonadota; Gammaproteobacteria; Oceanospirillales; Halomonadaceae.